UUAGUGAGCUUAGGUUUGAGUCCUGGUUCUACUGACUGUGUGAACUUGGGAAAAUUAUUAAGGAAAUUUGUCUCAAUUUUCUCACGUGAACCGUGAGGAGAACGCCCUUCCUACCUAUCACAUUGUUAAGCAUGAAGAGAUAACAGACGUAAACUGAGUGACAUAGUGAUGGGCUCAGGCUGGGACAAACAGAACUGAGCAGGAAACUUGUUCUUGGAGUUAUUUCCCCUAAGAAGAGCCUGCUGUUGAGAAUACAGAGUCGUGUUUGACAACGGAGUCAGCAAAAAGGAAGCGGAGGAAGAGAUGGGGGAGACAAUCUGGAUCCUGCUGGCAUCAUCAGACCCCUGUGUCCACCUGCACCUCUGGCUGCUUGGUUGUAUAAGCCAAUGCAUUCUGGGGUUUUUGUUUUGUUUUGUUUUUAAUUUAAGCCCGUUUGCUUCAGGUUUUCUUUUUUUUUUUUUUAAUUUUUUUUUAAUGUUUAUUUAUUUUUGAGACAGAGAGAGACAGAGCAUGAAUGGGGGAGGCUCAGAGAGAGGGAGACACAGAAUCCGGAGCAGGCUCCAGGCUCCGAGCUGUCAGCACAGAGCCCGAUGCGGGGCUCGAACUCACGGACCGCGGGAUCAUGACCUGAGCCGAAGUCAGACGCUUAACCGACUGAGCCACGCAGGCGCCCCUUCAGGUUUUCUUUCAAUUCAAACCAAGUGAUGCAACUGAUACAAGUUCUAUGAAAUGCAUUUAAAAAUAGAUUGAUUUUUGUCCUAUGCUCGUGGCCAGAGCAGUUCCCAAUUGCUACUUUCUUGUCCAACUAAUCAAUAAAUAUAUAAUAGGCCCUUGUUACAUGGUCAAAUGCCACAAAGUUUAAGAAAGUUCCUUGUGCUACAA
Molecule: long non-coding RNA, 882 nt
Organism: Neofelis nebulosa (Clouded leopard)
Lineage: Eukaryota; Metazoa; Chordata; Mammalia; Carnivora; Felidae
Exons: 2
Source: RefSeq, a predicted model, not a curated record